Molecule: RNA transcript, 2289 nt
Organism: Lagopus leucura (white-tailed ptarmigan)
Lineage: Eukaryota; Metazoa; Chordata; Aves; Galliformes; Phasianidae
Gene: MRPS26
Gene name: mitochondrial ribosomal protein S26
Exons: 6
Source: RefSeq, a predicted model, not a curated record
ACUGUGCAGGGCCAGCACUGGUCCCACGGAUGGUACCCAGGGGGCAAGAGGGACCUCAGCGCCUCACAGGUCCCCGCCGCACUCCGGCCCUGCCCGACCCCGCCGUGCCGCCCGCUCCAGCCGAUGCCCUCAACCCUCCGGGCCGCAGUGUGGCGCCCUCUGGAGGCCGCCCUGCGCCAACCGCAUUGAGCAGCCCCACGCCGCACUACAUUUCCCAUCGUGCCUCGCUCCGCGCUCUCCUCUCAUUGGUCCGCUACUCCCGCCUUAUUCGCGUCACAUCCGGCCUGCUGCUGGCCGCCAUGUUGGCGGCGCUGAGGUAUUGCGGUCCGCGCUCCUUCCCCGCUGCUGUUACCGGGCCUGUCCCUGCUUGGAGCCCGUGGUUGGUGCCGUGUCGGGGCCGCAAAUCGCGGCACGAUCCCCCCGCCAAAUCUAAAGCGUCGCGGCUGAAAGUGCCUCCUCCCGUCGACCCCGCCGAGCUCUAUGUGGUCACCGAACGAUACCGGCAGCACCGCCUGGUGCUCAGCGCCCUCCGCUCCAUCUUCAGGUCCGAGGUGGUGCAGAGGAAGCAUGAGGCACAAAAGGAUGCUGAGGACUCAGCAGCACUGUCAGAGGAGCACCGUUUGCUGAUGGCCUGGAACGAUGCUGAGAAUGCACGACAGCGGGCACGCAGAGAAGAAAGAAUUAGGAAAGAAGAGGAAGAACAGAAGAUGCAGAAGCUGCAGGCUGCGGAGAACAAAGCCAAAGUGAUGGAGGCCUUUCUGAAGGAGAAAGAGAAAGAAGUCCUGCAACUGCAGGAGGAAGCAAAAACCUUCAUCACUCCUGAGAACCUGGAGGCUCGGAUUGAGGAGUGCCUGGACAACCCUCGCAACUACAACUUCGCCAUUGACAAAGAGGGACGCAUCGUCAAGCGCACUGCACUGUCCUAGCAGCUCUGUCUCAUGGCUGAAGGGGAUGUGCUGGCCUGGCCUCCACCUGGAGGCCGGGGUUCUUCCUUUUAAUGCACAAAUCAGCCACAGAAUUGAUGGACAAACAGCCUGCUUCCUGUGCUGCUGUUGCAGAGGAUGUUGGACCUGGCCAAAACCACAAGUCUCACAGAGGGGUGAGAUGUGAUCUGUACGAGGUGUAAACCCCAGAACCUCUGCCAGGACCUGAACACCAAAUCUUCACUUCCCAAAGGCAACAAAGCCCCAGAGUGCAAGGAGGUGACGGCGUCCGAAGGCAGAUCCCCAUCACAAAUCUGAGGACAGGGUGUGAAAGGGAGGUUGGAAUCCAUGCAUGCUGGUGGGAUCCUGGGGUGAGGAUGGAUGGCCUCAAAUCGUGGCUCUGGAUGGGAUUUUUCCCUUUUAGCACCAGGGGGCACCAGCUCAGCAAAAUCCUGUCGAAUGGGGGCUGAGCCUCCAACGUGGAAAACAGUGGAAAUGGGAAAAUGGCUUCAGGGAGUCAGAGGAAGGCAUGGCACCCACCUGCAUGGCCCCAUCCUGCCCAUCCCCAAGCUCCCAAUGAACCCUGGAGCUCAGCACUCCCCCCUUAUCCCCAACACCUCAGACAAAGCCAGCACAGUGCAAGAGGACUUUAUUAGAUCUGCUAUUUACAACGGGUCCUUCUGAUAUCCCAGCUGCUCAGAGGCCGGGCUGCUUGCCUUGCUGCUGCCUGUUGGCCAGGUGCAUCAGCCUCAGCAGUAGGUCCCCAGCUGUGCCAUCCAGCACCGUCAGGUUCUUCUCCUCUGCCUCUUCUGGCUGUUCACUGCCUUCCUCCAGGCACACGGCGUCCAUGGCACAUGUGUCUGCAGUGGGGAAAGCAUCACAGUUAGGAGCAGUUGGUUUCAGGUCGUAGAAUCAUAGAAUGGGUUGGGUUGAGUCGGGUUGGGUUUGGAUGAGUUGAGUUGGGUUGAAUUGGGUUGGGUUGAGUUGGAUUGAGUUGUGUUGGGUGGAGGGAUCUUAAAGAUCGUCUGUUUCCCAUCAGAGAAGCCCAAACUCCAGCUUUAUUGCUCCCAUGAAUGAGGAAGCAGGGAUUUUUUAUGGUUUGUGUGUCCAGCAGAGCAUGUGUGUCCAUGUCUCAUGGUGGAGACGUGGGAAGGAGCUCUGAGCUCCAUCUCUGUUCCAAGCUGGCGACAUCGUCUGCUCUGUGCCCAAGUUUGGAGGAUGCUGGUUCAGAAGGUAAAUGCUAAUUUGGGGGAUGCUGAUUUUUGAGAACGCUGUUUUGGAGGAUGCUGCUGCUUUGGGGAGGGACGCCGAUCCUUUUGCAAAGCACCGGAGCACUCACCAACCCUUUGCAACCCCCCAAUCCAAA